GGCAAAUGUAGCAGCAUCUAUGUGGUGGUUUUGGGAUGCUGCCAGGAUGUAUACUUCUCCUGCCUUCCAAGCAUGGUGGUGGUAGCAUCAGGGUCUGGAGCUGCAUGAGUGUGGCUGGCACUGGGAAUCUGCGGUUCAUUGAGAGAAACAUGGAUUCCAACAUGUACUGUGACCUUCUAAGGCAGAUCAUGAUGACCACCCUUCAGAAACUGGGCAAAAUGCAGUUUUGUAACUAAAUAAUGAUCCCAAACACAACCCCAAGAUGACAAUUGCCUUGGAAAGAAGGUGAAGGUUAUAGAGUGGCCAAGUAUGUCUCCAGGCCUGAGCACCUGCGGGGCAAGCAGAAGGACAUCAUCCAGUCAGAGGUAACUCCAGAACUUCCUCAACAUCUUCAGGAAGAUUUGUGGUUUUCUGCUGUUGUGGCAAGCUUUUUCCCCCCUCAAGUUAAUUCAAGAGGCUUUUAUUCCUAUUCCAGCCAUACAGUGAAAUUAUGCUGUGUUCCCCCAGGACCAAAGUUCUGCACAAAUCUAACUAAAACACUACAUAAAGUGAACAUGUGCAAACAACAUUUCAUGUAAACAAACAACACAAUUACACAAUAAAAUCUCAUUGUGUCACACAGUGACAGUGUAGCACUGAUCAGUAC
Silurus meridionalis is the source of this 646-nucleotide long non-coding RNA. RefSeq lists it as uncharacterized. The transcript has 3 exons. Lineage: Eukaryota; Metazoa; Chordata; Actinopteri; Siluriformes; Siluridae. The record is from RefSeq and is a predicted model, not a curated record.